This 1646-nucleotide ribosomal RNA is filed under the name Klebsiella variicola. RNAcentral describes it as "partial 23S ribosomal RNA". It matches the Rfam family "Bacterial large subunit ribosomal RNA", at positions 1292 to 2915 of the family's 2925-position model. Lineage: Bacteria; Pseudomonadati; Pseudomonadota; Gammaproteobacteria; Enterobacterales; Enterobacteriaceae. The record is from RNAcentral.
GAAUGCUGACAUAAGUAACGAUAAAGCGGGUGAAAAGCCCGCUCGCCGGAAGACCAAGGGUUCCUGUCCAACGUUAAUCGGGGCAGGGUGAGUCGACCCCUAAGGCGAGGCCGAAAGGCGUAGUCGAUGGGAAACAGGUUAAUAUUCCUGUACUUGGUGUUACUGCGAAGGGGGGACGGAGAAGGCUAUGUUAGCCGGGCGACGGUUGUCCCGGUUUAAGCAUGUAGGCGGAGGUUCCAGGUAAAUCCGGUACCUUUUAACGCUGAGGUGUGAUGACGAGGCACUACGGUGCUGAAGUAACAAAUGCCCUGCUUCCAGGAAAAGCCUCUAAGCAUCAGGUAACAUUAAAUCGUACCCCAAACCGACACAGGUGGUCAGGUAGAGAAUACCAAGGCGCUUGAGAGAACUCGGGUGAAGGAACUAGGCAAAAUGGUGCCGUAACUUCGGGAGAAGGCACGCUGGUGUGUAGGUGAAGUCCCUGCGGAUGGAGCUGAGACCAGUCGAAGAUACCAGCUGGCUGCAACUGUUUAUUAAAAACACAGCACUGUGCAAACACGAAAGUGGACGUAUACGGUGUGACGCCUGCCCGGUGCCGGAAGGUUAAUUGAUGGGGUUAUCCGUAAGGAGAAGCUCUUGAUCGAAGCCCCGGUAAACGGCGGCCGUAACUAUAACGGUCCUAAGGUAGCGAAAUUCCUUGUCGGGUAAGUUCCGACCUGCACGAAUGGCGUAAUGAUGGCCAGGCUGUCUCCACCCGAGACUCAGUGAAAUUGAACUCGCUGUGAAGAUGCAGUGUACCCGCGGCAAGACGGAAAGACCCCGUGAACCUUUACUAUAGCUUGACACUGAACAUUGAGCCUUGAUGUGUAGGAUAGGUGGGAGGCUUUGAAGCGUGGACGCCAGUCUGCGUGGAGCCAACCUUGAAAUACCACCCUUUAAUGUUUGAUGUUCUAACGUAGGCCCCUGACCGGGGUUGCGGACAGUGUCUGGUGGGUAGUUUGACUGGGGCGGUCUCCUCCCAAAGAGUAACGGAGGAGCACGAAGGUUAGCUAAUCCUGGUCGGACAUCAGGAGGUUAGUGCAAUGGCAUAAGCUAGCUUGACUGCGAGCGUGACGGCGCGAGCAGGUGCGAAAGCAGGUCAUAGUGAUCCGGUGGUUCUGAAUGGAAGGGCCAUCGCUCAACGGAUAAAAGGUACUCCGGGGAUAACAGGCUGAUACCGCCCAAGAGUUCAUAUCGACGGCGGUGUUUGGCACCUCGAUGUCGGCUCAUCACAUCCUGGGGCUGAAGUAGGUCCCAAGGGUAUGGCUGUUCGCCAUUUAAAGUGGUACGCGAGCUGGGUUUAGAACGUCGUGAGACAGUUCGGUCCCUAUCUGCCGUGGGCGCUGGAGAAUUGAGGGGGGCUGCUCCUAGUACGAGAGGACCGGAGUGGACGCAUCACUGGUGUUCGGGUUGUCAUGCCAAUGGCACUGCCCGGUAGCUAAAUGCGGAAGAGAUAAGUGCUGAAAGCAUCUAAGCACGAAACUUGCCCCGAGAUGAGUUCUCCCUGAGACUUUAAGUCUCCUGAAGGAACGUUGAAGACGACGACGUUGAUAGGCCGGGUGUGUAAGCGCAGCGAUGCGUUGAGCUAACCGGUACUAAUGAACCGUGAG